RNAcentral lists this unclassified non-coding RNA (144 nucleotides) under uncultured fungus. RNAcentral's name for it is "sequence contains ITS1, 5.8S rRNA gene". Lineage: Eukaryota; Fungi. The record is from RNAcentral.
CUGAGUGAGGGCUCACGCCCGACCUCCAACCCUUUGUGAACACAUCUUGUUGCUUCGGGGGCGACCCUGCCGUCUCGCACGGCGGGCGCCCCCGGAGGCCAUCAAACACUGCAUCAUUGCGUCGGAGUUUAAGUAAAUUAAACA